RNAcentral lists this ribosomal RNA (432 nucleotides) under Obesumbacterium proteus. RNAcentral's name for it is "bacterial SSU rRNA". It matches the Rfam family "Bacterial small subunit ribosomal RNA", at positions 97 to 525 of the family's 1533-position model. Lineage: Bacteria; Pseudomonadati; Pseudomonadota; Gammaproteobacteria; Enterobacterales; Hafniaceae. The record is from RNAcentral.
GGCGGACGGGUGAGUAAUGUCUGGGAAACUGCCUGAUGGAGGGGGAUAACUACUGGAAACGGUAGCUAAUACCGCAUGACGUCUUCGGACCAAAGUGGGGGACCUUCGGGCCUCACGCCAUCAGAUGUGCCCAGAUGGGAUUAGCUAGUAGGUGGGGUAAUGGCUCACCUAGGCGACGAUCUCUAGCUGGUCUGAGAGGAUGACCAGCCACACUGGAACUGAGACACGGUCCAGACUCCUACGGGAGGCAGCAGUGGGGAAUAUUGCACAAUGGGCGCAAGCCUGAUGCAGCCAUGCCGCGUGUAUGAAGAAGGCCUUCGGGUUGUAAAGUACUUUCAGCGAGGAGGAAGGCAUUGUGGUUAAUAACCUCAGUGAUUGACGUUACUCGCAGAAGAAGCACCGGCUAACUCCGUGCCAGCAGCCGCGGUAAUA